UAGCGGAGGAAAGAAACCAACAGGGAUUGCCCUAGUAACGGCGAGUGAAGCGGCAACAGCUCAAAUUUGAAAUCUGGCUUCGGCCCGAGUUGUAAUUUGCAGAGGAAGCUUUGGGCGCGGCACCGACCGAGUCCCCUGGAACGGGGCGCCAUAGAGGGUGAGAGCCCCGUAUGGUCGGACGCCUAGCCUGUGUAAAGCUCCUUCGACGAGUCGAGUAGUUUGGGAAUGCUGCUCAAAAUGGGAGGUAAAUUUCUUCUAAAGCUAAAUACCGGCCAGAGACCGAUAGCGCACAAGUAGAGUGAUCGAAAGAUGAAAAGCACUUUGAAAAGAGGGUUAAAUAGCACGUGAAAUUGUUGAAAGGGAAGCGCUUGUGACCAGACUUGCGCCCGGCUGAUCAUCCGGUGUUCUCACCGGUGCACUCUGCCGGGCUCAGGCCAGCAUCGGUUCUCGCGGGGGGAUAAAGGCCCAGGGAACGUGGCUCCUCCGGGAGUGUUAUAGCCCUGGGUGCAAUGCCCUCGCGGGGACCGAGGUUCGCGCAUCUGCAAGGAUGCUGGCGUAAUGGUCAUCAGCGACCCGUCUUGAAACACGGACCAAGGAGUCAAGGUUUUGCGCGAGUGUUUGGGUGUAAAACCCGCACGCGUAAUGAAAGUGAACGUAGGUGAGAGCUUCGGCGCAUCAUCGACCGAUCCUGAUGUUUUCGGAUGGAUUUGAGUAGGAGCGUUAAGCCUUGGACCCGAAAGAUGGUGAACUAUGCUUGGAUAGGGUGAAGCCAGAGGAAACUCUGGUGGAGGCUCGCAGCGGUUCUGACGUGCAAAUCGAUCGUCAAAUCUGAGCAUGGGGGCGAAAGACUAAUCGAA
This 857-nucleotide ribosomal RNA is filed under the name Plectosphaerella tabeijunkoae. RNAcentral describes it as "partial large subunit ribosomal RNA". It matches the Rfam family "Eukaryotic large subunit ribosomal RNA", at positions 48 to 939 of the family's 3401-position model. Lineage: Eukaryota; Fungi; Ascomycota; Sordariomycetes; Glomerellales; Plectosphaerellaceae. The record is from RNAcentral.